This 253-nucleotide ribosomal RNA is filed under the name uncultured bacterium. Its description in RNAcentral is "partial 16S ribosomal RNA". It matches the Rfam family "Bacterial small subunit ribosomal RNA", at positions 524 to 776 of the family's 1533-position model. The record is from RNAcentral.
UACGGAGGGUGCGAGCGUUGUCCGGAUUUAUUGGGUUUAAAGGGUGCGUAGGCGGCCUCUUAAGUCAGUGGUGAAAGCCCGCGGCUCAACCGCGGAACUGCCAUUGAUACUGGGAGGCUUGAGUACAGACGAGGUAGGCGGAAUUGAAGAUGUAGCGGUGAAAUGCUUAGAUAUCUUCAAGAACACCGAUUGCGUAGGCAGCUUACUAGGCUGUAACUGACGCUCAUGCACGAAAGCGUGGGGAGCAAACAGG